UGAGGAAUAUUGGUCAAUGGGUGCAAGCCUGAACCAGCCAUCCCGCGUGAAGGACGACUGCCCUAUGGGUUGUAAACUUCUUUUGUAUAGGGAUAAACCUACCCUCGUGAGGGUAGCUGAAGGUACUAUACGAAUAAGCACCGGCUAACUCCGUGCCAGCAGCCGCGGUAAUACGGAGGGUGCAAGCGUUAUCCGGAUUUAUUGGGUUUAAAGGGUGCGUAGGCGGCGAUAUAAGUCAGUGGUGAAAUAUUUCGGCUUAACCGAGAUACUGCCAUUGAUAGUGGGUUGGUAGAAGAUGGUUGCUNUGAGUGGAAUGUGGGGUUUAGCGGUGAAAGGCUUAGAUAUCACACAGAAUAUCGAUUGCGAAGGCAGCUCACAAAGCCAUUAUUGACGCUGAGGCACGAAAGUGUGGG
This 413-nucleotide ribosomal RNA is filed under the name uncultured bacterium. Its description in RNAcentral is "bacterial SSU rRNA". It matches the Rfam family "Bacterial small subunit ribosomal RNA", at positions 355 to 765 of the family's 1533-position model. The record is from RNAcentral.